AUGGCAAUCCUUCUGGUGAUCGUGUGCUGCUGCUCCCUGUUGCCAUUCCAAUGCUCUGCCGUUUGCAAAGGGCGUGCAUUUGGCCACUUUGGUCAGGGGGCUGAGGCCGGGCCAAGGGGAGGAGGAGACCAAUUUGAUCAGGGGGGUGGGGAGGGAGGGCCUGGGAGAGGAGGAAACCAAUUUGAUCAGGCAGCGCCAGGGGCAGGAGGAAAUCAUGUGGGUGAGGGGGUUGGGUUGAGUGGAGGAAACCAAGUAGGACGGACGCCUCCGGCGCCGCGGGGUAAGACACCGAGGAACCACAGGUGA
Molecule: ribosomal RNA, 306 nt
Filed under: Triticum aestivum (bread wheat)
Lineage: Eukaryota; Viridiplantae; Streptophyta; Magnoliopsida; Poales; Poaceae
Description: partial small subunit ribosomal RNA
Source: RNAcentral